Molecule: ribosomal RNA, 434 nt
Filed under: uncultured bacterium
Lineage: Bacteria
Description: bacterial SSU rRNA
Rfam family: Bacterial small subunit ribosomal RNA
Source: RNAcentral
GAUGAACGCUAGCGAUAGGCCUAACACAUGCAAGUCGAGGGGCAUCACAUGAAGUAGCAAUACGGAUGGUGGCGACCGGCGCACGGGUGAGUAACACGUAUGCAACCUGCCUUCAACAAGGGGAUAACCCGUUGAAAGACGGACUAAUACCCUAUAACACAGGGGUCCCGCAUGGGAAUAUUUGUUAAAGGACAACCGGUUGAAGAUGGGCAUGCGUUCCAUUAGCUAGUUGGCGGGGUAACGGCCCACCAAGGCAACGAUGGAUAGGGGAACUGAGAGGUUUAUCCCCCACACUGGUACUGAGACACGGACCAGACUCCUACGGGAGGCAGCAGUGAGGAAUAUUGGUCAAUGGACGCAAGUCUGAACCAGCCACGUCGCGUGAAGGAAGACGGCCCUACGGGUUGUAAACUUCUUUUAUACGGGAAUAAAGU